UACGUAGGGGGCAAGCGUUGUCCGGAAUUAUUGGGCGUAAAGAGCGUGUAGGCGGCCUUACAGGUCAGCUGUGAAAACUCGAGGCUCAACCUCGAGACGUCGGUUGAAACCGUAUGGCUAGAGUCCGGAAGAGGAGAGUGGAAUUCCCGGUGUAGCGGUGAAAUGCGCAGAUAUCGGGAAGAACACCCGUGGCGAAGGCGGCUCUCUGGGACGGUACUGACGCUGAGACGCGAAAGCAUGGGGAGCGAACAGG
RNAcentral lists this ribosomal RNA (253 nucleotides) under uncultured bacterium. RNAcentral's name for it is "partial 16S ribosomal RNA". It matches the Rfam family "Bacterial small subunit ribosomal RNA", at positions 524 to 776 of the family's 1533-position model. The record is from RNAcentral.